Molecule: ribosomal RNA, 360 nt
Filed under: uncultured eukaryote
Lineage: Eukaryota
Description: partial 18S ribosomal RNA
Rfam family: Eukaryotic small subunit ribosomal RNA
Source: RNAcentral
CAAUAGCAUAUAUUAACGUUGUUGCAGUUGAAAAGCUCGUAGUUGAACUUUUGGUAGGAGCGACCUGGCCUUGGGCGCAUGCCCUUGUUUGCCGUGUGUCGUAUCUGGCCAUCCUUUUCCGUUUCGGCGGGAAUCUUUUACUGUGAGUAAACUGGAGUGCUCAAAACAAGACGUUUGUUUGGUACAUUAAAGCAUGGAAUAAUAAGAUAGGACCUGGUUACUAUUUUGUUGGUUUGCAUAGCUAGGUAAUGAUUAACAGGGACAGUUGGGGGUAUUCGUAUUUAAUUGUCAGAGGUGAAAUUCUUGGAUUUAUGAAAGACGAACGACUGCGAAAGCACUUACCAAGGAUGUUUUCAUUAA